AAUCUAUUCAACUUCCGGCGGUAAAACUAAAAUUUCCCACAUGUGAAAGUCAAAAACAAUGUCAAUAAUGAACUCCUUCUUUCUUCCUCGCUUAUUAAGCCCAAAACUCGGCACUUUGAUUCGUUUUAAUCCCACCGUCUCACUUCGCCCUAUUUUAACACAAUCUUUACGCCCUCAUGCAUGUAUUUUCGUGCAACCCCUUUCGUGUUUGACGCCAAAACGUUCGUCAUCUCAACAAGGUUUGUUUUCCCGGGGACACCAACAGACAAGGUGGAAACCGGCACCACCUUACAGAAGAAAGAGUUCUCAGGAAAAGAUGGAUCCAAGGAUCAUUUACAUGGUUUACGCUUCCAUAACCAUUGGUGCUUUACUUCUCGGCACUAUUCUGUUUUCUCGUCUGAAACUUAUUUACAAAAAAUAUAUUCAUGAUAUUCACACUUAUUACGAUGCACCUUUCGGUCGACGACAGAAACUGAUACAAUACAAAGGGGUUGUCCUACCCGCAAUGUUAGAAAACGAUUUACCUAAGAUUCGAGACUUUGACGUUAGACCAGACGAUGUGUGGGUGGUGUCUUGGCCACGGUCAGGAACUACGUGGGUUCAAGAAAUUGUUUACCUCAUCCAUUCAGAUCUUGACAUUUCACAAGAAGAAGAGAAAAACAUUGAACAACGAUUCCAUUUUCUUGAAAAUAUUUAUCCUGGACUACCUGCCAUAGCUGCUAAGGAAUCACCUCGACUGAUCAAAAGCCAUUUGCCCUUUCAACUCCUUCCAGAACAGCUUUCAACAGUCAAACCAAAAAUAAUUUAUGUUGUUAGAAAUCCAAAGGAUAUACUAAUUUCAUACUACAACUUCCUAAAAAUGUUGACACCUUUGAAAUUUGUUGGAACAUUUGAAGAAUUCUGCGAUAGGUUUACCAAAGAUAAAGUGUAUUAUUCCCCAUGGGGUAAACAUGUGAGAACUGCUGUGGAUUUGAACCAACAACAUCAUAACAUCCUCAUUGUUCAGUAUGAAGAUUUACAUAAGGACCUUGCUGGAAAUGUGCAGCGUAUUGCCAAAUUUCUUGGUAAGGAGUUAACACCGGAACAACUGUUGACUAUUUGCCAUCGAUGUCUGUUUAAGAAUAUGCGCCAGAAUAAAAGUGUCAACUACUCGUGGUGGGACGGCUAUGGGAUCCGAGAUCAAACCCAGACAGAAUUUCUUCGGCGAGGUAAAGUCGGAGAUUGGAAGCAUUAUUUGACACCAUUUUUCAGUCGAAGAGUUGAGAAAAUGGUGAAAGAUAACUUAACAGAUGUUAACCUAAAUAUUGAAUAUGAAUUGACUGUUCCACCAACCGUGGAGUGACAAGAUUAUAAGUUAACUACACAAACAUACACAAUUUCAUUCAGAUGGUAAAACUGAAUAAUCCUGUGACAGACCGAUAUCCCUUCAAGGGAAGAAUAUAUACACCAGAAAAACCAGGAAACCAGCCUUUUGAUCCUUACCAACAUGAUGUAUUGGUGAACAGUUAACAGAGAGCAUUAAGAUUAAAGAUGUUGAGAAAAGGCUGAGGCAUCCUGUUGAGCUAGAGAUGAUCUGGUUCUUCUCAGAUGAACAGAACUUCUUCCUGGACCAGUUGCACAACAUGCAGAACAACAGGUGAUUUACCUACAAUCCAUGUGAUGUAUCAGUCAUGAAAACCAAGUUCCUCCACAAACUGUGAUGUGUGUCUCCUAUGAGAGUGAUAUCAUGCAACCCCACAUCUUGAGCAGGGCCUUAGGAUCAAUUCAGAUGACCAUGUGAGACUGGUCAAACCAUGGCUGGUGAGGGUUGCUUCUGGAGGUCAUAUGUGUAGUAGCGAGAUUUGGCCACUUGCCAUACCUCUGGAAAGAGUCAGAAGUAGUUGGCAGAAAAUUUCUACAACUUCACCAGCCCCAAUUUCUGACCUUGCAAUUGUAAUCCUAUGGAUUACAGUGUGUAGGGUUUGGUUGAGAAAGAAACCAACAGCUCUGUCUGCAACACAGGCUGAGCUGGUGACCAAGACCAAGGAGAUGUUCAAAGAUCUUUGCAAGGACAUAAUGAGGAAGACAUGUGCCCACUUCCAGAGCCAUUUUAAGGCCAUGGUGAAAGCUGAAGACAGCUACUUUGAAUAAACUGUUAUCCCCCAGCCAUAUUCUAGUUGCUCUUUUUUCAUUUUUUAAAAUACUUCAAUUUUUGAAUGAGAUAUCGUGUUUUCUUUUCCUUUUUUUGCAAUGUAUCAAAUUUAGCCUGAACACCAUGUAUGUAUGUGUGCACAUGUGUGUGUGCUUACACACACACAUAUAUAUUAGGAUGUUUGGAAAGUAACUGCGUUUUUUUCACCAAUAUAAAAUAUGAAUCAACCAAUCAUGUCAGAGCCAAGUUUGAAUGAGUGGAAACUGUCUAGAAAUAGUAUAUCGUCUCUUCUAUCCAGCAGCGUGUCAUUCAUAGUUAUUUUGGUAAUUAACUCCAUGGAGGAUGAGAACUUUAUGAAACCACAUAUUUGCCAUUGCUUACUGUAUGAGCUUCAAAAGAAAAGUACUGCUAAAGAAGCUAUGAAAAAUAUUUUUGAAGUGUAUCUGGAUGCAGUGACAACUCGUACAUGUUGACUGUGAUUUAAAAGGUUUAAAUAUGGUGAUUGUAACAUAUUUGACAAGCCUCGCUCUAGAAGACAACCCACUCUGAAGGAUGACCUUUUGAAUGAGACUACUGUAUCAGAUCCACAUCAAAGAACCAGAGAUUUGGCACAAAAAUUUGAUGUGUAAUGUUAAACUAUCCAUGAGCAUUUCAAGCAAAUUGGGAAAACAUGCAGAGGGAAUUUAGGUUCUACAUGAGCUUACACUUGAGAGCUGAACACGACAUUCCACCAUCUGCAGUAGUCCUCUAACCAGGAAUAACAACCUGUCAUUUUUGCAGUGCAUUGUUACAGGUGAUGAAAAAUGAGUUCUACAUCACAACAGAAAACAAAAAAAAGAACAAUGAUUAUUAUGUAAUGAGAAGGCAGUACCAACACCAAAACCAAAACCAGAACUCCAUCCACAAACAUCUUUGAUCUGUGUUUGGUGGAACAUAAAAGGUAUCAUCCAUUACAAGCUACUGGAACAUGGAAGGACCAUCAAUGCAGAUGUCUGUUGCCAACAACUUGAUCAUGUAAAUGAAAAAUUAAGUUGAAAAUGGCCAGCUUUGGAAAACAGUAAAGGUGUUAUUCUCCAACAUGGACACACUCUUCAAAGCAAACCCAAGAAAAAAUAAGAUCAUUAAGAUGGGAAGUUCUACAUCCUCCAUACUCACCUGACUUAGCACCUAUGGAUUUCCAUCUGUUCCAAUCACAAGAACAUUUUAUAAGUGGCAAAACAUUCAGAAACAGAGAGGAAGUUGAAAACAGUCUUUGAGACUUUUUUUUCAGGAAAAGAAAUAGGUUUCUUUGAACGUGACAUGAAAAUGUUACUUUUCCAUUGGGCUGCAGUUGUUAAAAACAUUGGUGAUUACAUUCUUAAUUAAGACUAUUUAAAUAAA
RNAcentral lists this unclassified non-coding RNA (3511 nucleotides) under Octopus sinensis (East Asian common octopus). RNAcentral describes it as "sulfotransferase 4A1, transcript variant X1". Lineage: Eukaryota; Metazoa; Mollusca; Cephalopoda; Octopoda; Octopodidae. The record is from RNAcentral.